Molecule: unclassified non-coding RNA, 569 nt
Filed under: Scedosporium boydii
Lineage: Eukaryota; Fungi; Ascomycota; Sordariomycetes; Microascales; Microascaceae
Description: sequence contains 18S rRNA gene, ITS1, 5.8S rRNA gene, ITS2, 28S rRNA gene
Rfam family: 5.8S ribosomal RNA (bases 213-366)
Source: RNAcentral
UCGUAACAAGGUCUCCGUUGGUGAACCAGCGGAGGGAUCAUUACAGAGUUACUACUCCAAACCCAUUGUGAACCUUACCUAUGUUCUGUUGCCUCGGCGGCGUGGUCAGCGCCCCUCUGAAAAGAGGACGAUGCCCUCCCGCCGGCAGCACCAAACUCUUUGAAUUUUACAGCGGAUUACAGUUCUGAUUUGAAAACAAAAAAACAAGUUAAAACUUUCAACAACGGAUCUCUUGGUUCUGGCAUCGAUGAAGAACGCAGCGAAAUGCGAUAAGUAAUGUGAAUUGCAGAAUUCAGUGAAUCAUCGAAUCUUUGAACGCACAUUGCGCCCGGCAGUAAUCUGCCGGGCAUGCCUGUCCGAGCGUCAUUUCAACCCUCGAACCUCCGUUUCCUCAGGGAAGCUCAGGGUCGGUGUUGGGGCGCUACGGCGAGUCUUCGCGACCCUCCGUAGGCCCUGAAAUACAGUGGCGGUCCCGCCGCGGUUGCCUUCUGCGUAGUAAGUCUCUUUUGCAAGCUCGCAUUGGGUCCCGGCGGAGGCCUGCCGUCAAACCACCUAUAACUCCAGAUGGU